AUGCAGGAAGCGGGCCACCUUCCCAAUUACCCGUCAGAAUGUGCAAAUGCUUCCUCCCUGCUUUAUCAGCCUAGAAAAUAUGAUCUGAUCCAGGCCUUAAAGAACUUUCCAUCUAGAACAGGUGAUCCUAAGGAAAAGGCCAAGGGAGUCUGCCUGUGCCCCUCGGCCUCGCCACCCGUCUCUGACUGUCCCCGCUUGUCGCCUGUGCCCAGUCAAGCCGGGCGGCAGGCACGAGCAGGCCUAACAGCAGCCCCUGCUCUCCUCAAGCCCCUCUGCGGGAACCCUGGCUGCCGCCAUCCUGAGGCUGCGAAUCCUGAGACUCCAAACUCAACCACCUCCAGAGAGGCCAGCAUCCAGCCUUCAUCAACUACGACCAGCCAAGGCUAUGUUUUACCAGAAAGCAAAAUCAUGCCAAAUACCGUUUUUUUCUUUGGUUGCGAUGUUAGGAUGCAUGAAACCGAAAUUGCAAGUUUCUUUGCUAGAUAUGGUUCAGUAAAAUAAGUGAAGAUAAUCACGGCCUGAACUGGUGUGUCCAAAGGCUAUGGAUUUGUUUCAUUUUAUAAUGACAUGGAUGUGCAGAAGAUAGUAGAAUCACAGAUAAAUUUCCAUGGUAAAAAGCUGAAACUGGGGGCUUCCCUGCUGAAACUGGGCCCUGCAAUCAGGAAACAAAAUGUAAGUGUUUAUCAUGUACAGCUACGUCCUUUGGUUUUUAAUCCUCCUCCUCCACCACAGUUUCAGUGUAAACCAAGCCCUGGAGUAAUCCCAACACUGAAACUUACAUGCAGCCUCCAACCACGAUGAAUCAGUAUGUUCAGGCUUAUCCUCCUUAUCCAAAUUCACCAGUUCAGGUUAUGACCGGAUAUCAGCUGUGGGUUUAUAAUUAUCAGAUGCCACCUCAGUGGCCUACUGGAGAACAAAGGAGUUACGUUAUUCCUCUGGAUUAUACAGCUGUUAACUACCACUGUCAUGAAGUUGAUGCAGGAGCUGAAGUUCUGCCAAGUGAAUGCUCAAUUCAUGAAGCUACUCCAUCCUCCGGAAAUGGCCCACAAAAGAAAUCUGUGGGCUGAAGCAUACAGACGGUGG
Molecule: non-coding RNA, 1083 nt
Organism: Kogia breviceps (pygmy sperm whale)
Lineage: Eukaryota; Metazoa; Chordata; Mammalia; Artiodactyla; Physeteridae
Source: RefSeq, a predicted model, not a curated record